GCAAAGAGAGGCUACUCUGGGCAUUUAUCUUCUCUAUUGGGAUAGUUUUUGCAUUUCUCUUGGUAGCUUCUGAUGAGGAGAACGCUUCAACUAGAAAGAAGGCAACACUAGAAUUGGCAUGCUGUGUUUAUUUUUGAGUUUUGUAUCAAACUAACACUAGAGAAGGCCAUUAUGGGUUCAUUUUGUAAUCACAAUUUGCAUGAAAUUAUAGGUUAUAUGAUCAGUGG
Molecule: long non-coding RNA, 227 nt
Filed under: Prunus dulcis (almond)
Lineage: Eukaryota; Viridiplantae; Streptophyta; Magnoliopsida; Rosales; Rosaceae
Description: sRNA ncRNA
Source: RNAcentral